GUGAAUCAUCGAAUUUUUGAACGCAAAUUGCACUCUCUGGUAUUCCGGAGAGUAUGCCUUUUUGAGGGUCAGUUUUAAUAAAUAUCGGUGUGGUCGCUGCCUUUCGUGGUGACGCAUUGGAUCUGCGUCGACUUGCCUUGGGUUUAGUGGCCUAAAAUUUUUUCUGAUUUUUUCUGCAAGCAUUUAUAUGAUUUUACGUACGUUUUCG
This 208-nucleotide unclassified non-coding RNA is filed under the name Glomeraceae sp. Its description in RNAcentral is "partial contains 5.8S ribosomal RNA and internal transcribed spacer 2". The stretch from base 1 to 71 matches the Rfam family "5.8S ribosomal RNA", at positions 84 to 154 of the family's 154-position model. Lineage: Eukaryota; Fungi; Glomeromycota; Glomeromycetes; Glomerales; Glomeraceae. The record is from RNAcentral.